RNA transcript from Colletes gigas, 1740 nucleotides. It is a transcript of the gene named methionyl-tRNA formyltransferase, mitochondrial, with no coding region annotated. The record is from RefSeq and is a predicted model, not a curated record. The transcript is spliced from 8 exons. NCBI's taxonomy places the organism in Eukaryota, Metazoa, Arthropoda, Insecta, Hymenoptera, Colletidae.
AACACAACGGUUGAUUACACGAAAUAAUAGAGCACGAUAUUAAUUAUAAAUAAAAUAAAUAUAAUUGCGAGGGUAUAAAAAUAUCCCAUAUUAUCAGUUAAGGGUUGAUCGAGGUUGCAUUAUGAUUUAUCACUGAUAAGUUCUGGUGAUGAUUUCUAAAAACAUCGCUUACGAUUUCACGUAUAGGUUAACGUAGUACAUGAAACAUAGCCGUGGCAAUGGACAUUGAAAAUUCUAUAAUUUUCUAAAUGACAACACAAUCAAUAUGGUAUUUUUUAAUCUUCCAAUAUCUGGAACAAAACAGUUUUUAUAUACAUCGAGGAAAUUGAAAAAAACAUUGUUAUCGAUUGUUAAAACGACAGCACAUUGUUAUGUUUACAACAGAGAAUCCCAUGCAAUAUCGCAAAAUGCUCCGUGGAACGUAUUAUUUUUUGGUACGGACGAAUUUUCUGUCGAGAGCUUGAAAAUCUUACAUGAUAAGCGUAAAUCCAAAGUUUUACAACGAUUAGAAGUUGUUACAGUAAACAAAGGGAAAGAAAAUGCCAUUAUAAAGUAUGCAAAGGAAAAUGGAAUUAUUAUACACGAAUGGCCAAUUGAAAUUAAUGUACCUAAAAAAUUUCAUAUUGGGAUAGUUGUUUCAUUUGGUCAUUUGAUUCCAUCCAACAUCAUAGAUUCAUUUCCAUUGGGUAUGUUAAAUGUUCAUGCUAGCUUAUUACCAAGAUGGAGAGGAGCAGCACCAAUAAUUUAUUCAUUAAUGAAUGGAGAACAAGAAACAGGAGUUACAAUAAUGAAGAUAUUGCCAAAAAAAUUUGAUAUAGGAGAAAUAGUGUUGCAAAAGCAAAUUGAUAUUGGUGAGCAUGAAACAUUGCCAGAAUUAUAUGCUAAAUUAGCAAAAUUUGGAGGAAAUCUCUUGGGAGAUAUAUUCGACAAUUUACCACAAUUAAUGAAAUCUGCAGUACCUCAAAAUGAAAUGAAUGUUACAUAUGCACCAAAAAUAACAUCAAAAAUAGCUUCAAUUAAGUGGAAUGAAAUGUCAGCAAGCAAUGUUUAUAACUUAUACCGUGCUCUUUUAGGAUUGUAUCCAUUAGUUACAACAUUUCAGAAUACAACAAUAAAAUUACACGAUAUCAAAAAGAUCGAAAAACCAGUUCCAACAGAAUUGAUAGAAGAAAUGCCAGGAUCGCAGUCUGCACAAUGCCAAGAGUAGCCUCUUCGUUUCGGCGAUUUUUUAACCGGUGGAUCGAGACAGGUGAAGUGGUAGCAUUUUUUACAUUCAUCACACCUGGGACGUAAAAAGUGGAAAUGUCAUAAGUUCGGAAUACAUUUAAAAGUUCGGCAUAUGUAAUAUAUUUAUAUAAACUGACAUGACGAGAUUUUGACUGGUGCCAGGCAUAUCACAGACAUUGCAGUGUGUUAGGAGAUACAGCAUUCGAAACUAAAGACUGGACUGGCAGUGUAGAUGGAACUGGUAGGGCUGGUAGAGCAAGCGGAGCAGGCAGCGGAGGUGGUAGUUUAGGUAGUGGUGGAGAUGUUAUUUCAGUACUGGUAGAUGUGGCUACGAACAUCUGCGGACUUGAUUCGGAAGCAACUUCACCCUCUGGCCUUGGUAUUGGUUUUAUCUGUUAAACAAAAUAAAUAAACAUACAUGACGAUUAAUAAUUCAGAAAGUAGAGAAAAUAUAUGAUAAAUAAGAAGGAAUUUUGGAAAGGCGAAAAAGUAACGAUUUAAGACAAUACUUUG